RNAcentral lists this ribosomal RNA (203 nucleotides) under Staphylococcus pasteuri. RNAcentral's name for it is "partial 16S ribosomal RNA". It matches the Rfam family "Bacterial small subunit ribosomal RNA", at positions 327 to 523 of the family's 1533-position model. Lineage: Bacteria; Bacillati; Bacillota; Bacilli; Caryophanales; Staphylococcaceae. The record is from RNAcentral.
CGGUCCAGACUCCUACGGGAGGCAGCAGUAGGGAAUCUUCCGCAAUGGGCGAAAGCCUGACGGAGCAACGCCGCGUGAGUGAUGAAGGUCUUCGGAUCGUAAACUCUGUUAUCAGGGAAGAACAAUGUGUAAGUAACUCGUGCACAUCUGACGGUACCUCGAUCAGAAAGCCACGGCUAACUACGUGCCAGCAGCCGCGGUAA